GGGGCGAAACGAAGAGGAGGACAAAGGCAGAUUCUUGGGUUUCAGAAAUUCCUCUGUGCACCAAAAGGGAAAGCCAUCAGCACAAUCCACAGGCUGGGAGGUUCCUGGAAUUUUAAAUGUGUUGAGCCAACUGCACAGGGAGACUUUAUCUGUCUACAGAUUUCCUGAUGGCUGAUGGUGUUGAUGUGUCAGAAUCUGGAUUCACUAGAAGAAGAGCCUCCAGACACACCUGUAUACAAAAGGAAAAUUCUAACUGACCAUCCCGGCCACCAUUGCCCCUCUUUCCUAACUGUUGAUGGUCCUAAAUAGAAGGUCUACAUGAAGGUCGAUACCAAACCAUGGUCUUUGUACCCUUUGGAGACUGGAGGACUUAAUUCUAAAAAAGGUAAUGGACCUGGAAGUCUUUUGUGCCCUUUGUGGGGGUUGAUUUUGUUAAUGUCAGGAAUAAAAGGGAAAGAGUGUUUACUUGCUUGCUAAUUUCCUAAGAAUGCUCUCUUUUGCACAAGGCUGAUGUCGCUGUUGUUUCCAGAUGCCCAGACCCAGUUAGAAACAGCAUUGCUUUGCUUUCUUAACUAGAAAAACAAACAAACAAACAAAACCCCUCAAUGUCUGGGGUGUCACAGAGACAUGAAAAUCACUGAAUGAGCAAUGUCAGCCUUUGUUUUAAAAUGCCACAACAUUGCAUCUAAAGAGAAAUGGUGAUUCCAAAUUACCAACCAACUCUGCAACUUCUUUACCUGACUUCAGAAACACCAGCUGAAAUCUCUAAAACAUGCUGCGUACCAGAGGUUGAAUGAAGGUCAGCCACUAUUGCUAAAGACACUGCACACUCUGAAAAAUGGAACUCUCCAUUCAAGCUGGAUCUAACCUCGAAACCUCCCUCUGUGGUCUAGCUUCCACAGUACCAGAAAGUACUAUUAGUAGAUUUUGUUCCUAGGAGUGAAAACCCACCGUCAUUUAAGAAAAUGAGGAGGUUUGCCUUUGUACAUGGCUGGCACUGGGCCUCUGGGAUGAUGGUGCAGCUCAUUCUUCCUCAGUAAUAAUGGUAAGAAUGGCAUGGUUCUGAAGGUCAGAACACUGGAUGCCAACAGUACAUCACUUCUACAAUAAAAUUAACCAAAGUUCUGACCCAGUGUGGAUCUCUAGUCCCUUAUCCCAUACAACGACCUAUUGACACUGAUCAAAACCCAAAGUAUAUUCAAUCCAGUAUUAACCUGUUACAGUUCACUACGCACGAGCGCACACACACGCACACAUGCGCGUGCACACA
This is a long non-coding RNA of Alexandromys fortis (reed vole), 1270 nucleotides long. RefSeq lists it as uncharacterized. The record is from RefSeq and is a predicted model, not a curated record. NCBI's taxonomy places the organism in Eukaryota, Metazoa, Chordata, Mammalia, Rodentia, Cricetidae. The transcript has 4 exons.